RNAcentral lists this long non-coding RNA (2445 nucleotides) under Equus caballus (horse). Its description in RNAcentral is "lncRNA (ENSECAG00000050316.1)". The record is from RNAcentral. Lineage: Eukaryota; Metazoa; Chordata; Mammalia; Perissodactyla; Equidae.
AGGGCCAAUCUGCAGGUUAAUUUAUGGCAGCGGGCACUCUGAUGAUUUGGGAUCAUUUAAGCUCAUUACUACGGCACCUGGUGCCCAGGCUGCCCCAGUAGCUUAACUGGUCAUGUGACUUGAGUGACAUCAUCACCACUUUUCCCCACUUCCUGGAUUAAUGUUUGGUGGCCUACUUUUCCUCCGAAGCCUCUGGCAGAAGAUCCUGAGGAAGCAAAGCAUAAUACCGAUAAAUAUUAGAUCCUUCACUGCACUACUGGUUACAAGGAAAGAGGAAAUAUUCCGUUUUACAGGUUCUUCAUCCACCUCGACCUCACCCCCCAAUCCCCAAACUGUUGGAAGACGGCACAGCGAAAGUGCACAGGCCUGUCUUAUUCUUUGGAGGGAAGCACUUUCUCUUGUCAUUGGCUUUUUCCUUCUAGCCACGAAGAAAUGUACUUUUGCGAAGAACUGGAAAGAGGAUUCUGUGAACUUGUAUGGAGAAGCUGUUGACGGUGAAGGAUGUAACAUUGUGCUGAAAUAACUGGCUGAAAGAAACUCAGGGAAGAAAUAAAAGAGACAUGAGGAGAAGGCUCUCUGCUGGAUAGAAUGACCGAAUCUGGUGGAAGGAGGGUCCUGGGGGCAGUGGGAGGCAGGGUUCUCAAUGAAGUGGGUGCACAGGUUAUUAUCCCAGAGCCAUCCCCAGUCCUUAUUAGCAUCACCUGCUUGUUUCCAGCUCAGAGAUUCAGCUCCACUUUCCUUUGGCAAAGGGAGAGGCAUUUCAAGAUAUUUGGUCCUCAACAUCUGGAAGAGAGAAAACUCUUAAUAUACGGUGUUUUAAGGAAAACUUCAGGAUGCAAGCCAACAAAUAUCAAAGAAGAUAAUGAAGGACCACAGAACCCAGUCGAGUCCAAGCACAUUUAUCUGAGGAGCCAACUCAUAUUGACCUGUUUGUGCCCCUACUCUGCCUCUUGUUCCUGAUGAAGAUAUUAUAGAGAUAAAAGCCAUAAGAAAGAUGACAAACCAUAAUUAGGUGUGUCAUGAACUGAUGUCCAGCUAGCUUCACUUUCGGUUAAAGUCUAGGGUGGACGGUGGGCAUGUUCAAUCAGCAGAUGAAGAUGAGAUCACAACGGCCAAGUUUGGGAUCCUGAAUAAGAGUUGUACUCAGCACAGGAAUUAGGGGUCUUCUAGGGAGCUGAAGAUCUGUUGAAACCUCUGCUGACUUUGGGAUGUAAAUUACAUGCUUCAGGAAUCUCUCUUGUCUCAGUCUUUCAGCUUGAUGCCAUUGCUGCACAGAAGGAAAUCUUUGAAGGAGCAGCUAUAUUAAUAUUAGCCCUGCGCUAACAUCUGCUGCCAAUCCUCUUCUUUUCACUGAGGAAGACUGGCCCUGAGCUAACAUCCAUGCCCAUCUUCCCCCACUUGAUAUGUGGCAUCCCUACCAUAGCAUGGCUUGCCAAGUGGUGCCGCACCCAGUAUUCGAACUGGCGAACACCUAGCCGCCAAAGCAGAACAUGAGAACUUAACCACUGUGCCACUGGGCUGGCCCGAAGUGCUUUUUACAUGUGAAUGUUGUUGUAUAAAUAUUUGCAGGUAUUAUUUUCCUGCUGCAAUUAUACGUAGCGGAUGUUGGAUGUUUUGUCUGCACUGCAUCCCUUCCUCCAUCUAUUGCUAAAGAGUGUUAAAAAUUUCCUUCUGAGGAGCAGCUCUCAUACACUCUGUGUGUCUUGGCUCGACUACCCUGCCCUCCCCUAGCCAUGAGACUUGUCACACUGUAAAUAAAGUCACACUUUAAAUUAAGCAAUACAUCAGGUCCCUAAAUUUUAGGGAUAUAAUUUGUGUGUGUGUGUGUGUGAGGAAGAUUGGCCCUGAGCUAACAUCUGUGCCAAUCUUCCUCUAUUUUAUAUGGGAUGCCACCACAGCAUGGCUUAUCAAGCAGUGCUAGAUCUGUGCCCAGGAUUCAAACCUGUGAACCCUGGGCUCCCACAGUGGAGCACACUAACAUAAUGAAUAUGCCACCCGGCUGGCCCCAGGAAUAUAAUUUUUAACUACCGUCACUUACCUGAUAUAAUCAUUAAAUUUAAAAUUCUGUGCCAUGCUAUCUGUGCUGAAAUUCAAACCACUUUAAAAUGUGACAGCUAAACAUAAUGCAAGCUGGUAACAGUUCUGGUACUAAAAAUUGUGGUGGUUUCUUCUGUUUACGUAACUCUUAGUACUGAAUCCUUUUCCACGAGGAUCUUGUUAAGAAGAGCAGAGUCAUGCUUCACCCUUAACAUCUACACCCUGUGACAUCAGAUUUUGAAGGGCUUUAUGUGAACUGGCAUAUUGUAAUUUUUCUAAGCAUUUAAAAAAAGAUAACAGAAUUGUUAUCUACAGUUUGUUACCUAACAGUUUGUUUAGGUACUAAUUCUGUUCAGAAAAAUAAGCCAGGAAAAGUUGAUGGUAUUCAUCAGGUUUUAACUGAGUGGA